GUAGUCCGAUUUGCAUCAAUCCACAUGUGUUGAUGUGGAUUGGAGUGAAACUUGAACUAAAUUACACCUCAAUUCACUCCAAUACAUGUGGACUGAAGUGAAUCCGACA
Molecule: microRNA precursor, 109 nt
Organism: Sorghum bicolor (sorghum)
Lineage: Eukaryota; Viridiplantae; Streptophyta; Magnoliopsida; Poales; Poaceae
Rfam family: MIR5565 microRNA precursor family
Source: Rfam